UAACCCCAAAGGUCCACGGCUUUGAUGU
This 28-nucleotide non-coding RNA is filed under the name Rattus norvegicus (Norway rat). The record is from RNAcentral. Lineage: Eukaryota; Metazoa; Chordata; Mammalia; Rodentia; Muridae.